This is a long non-coding RNA of Hippocampus comes (tiger tail seahorse), 333 nucleotides long. RefSeq lists it as uncharacterized. The transcript is spliced from 3 exons. The record is from RefSeq and is a predicted model, not a curated record. Lineage: Eukaryota; Metazoa; Chordata; Actinopteri; Syngnathiformes; Syngnathidae.
AAGACGACGAGGAGGCCGAUCACGUUGGCACCCAGUCCUGCCUUCACCUGGAAGCACGGGCCAUCAUGGAGGUCAAGUGUCCGUAGGCGAAAACCACGGCGUUGGGAGGAUUGGACGCCGGCAGCAGGAAGGAGAAGGACGUGCACAACGUGGCCGGGAUCAAUACCGACAAGGGGUUGACGCGAAUGCCUUCGGCCUGCACGGCGCGGACAGGAGAAGACACAUGAAAAGAGGCGAGAGGAUGGGCAGGAAGAUGGUGAUGGUGGUGGCGUUGCUGGCCAGCUCGGUUACCAUGGUGACGAUGAUGCAAGCUACAGCCACAGUGGCCAGUGG